GCCGGCAUGUCGGAAUUGGCAGACGAGACAGACUCAAAAUCUGUUAUGGGUAACCAUGUGUGGGUUCAAGUCCCACUGCCGGCA
Molecule: transfer RNA, 84 nt
Filed under: Lachnospiraceae bacterium C7
Lineage: Bacteria; Bacillati; Bacillota; Clostridia; Lachnospirales; Lachnospiraceae
Rfam family: tRNA
About the family: Transfer RNA (tRNA) molecules are approximately 80 nucleotides in length.
Source: Rfam by way of RNAcentral